Molecule: long non-coding RNA, 205 nt
Filed under: Ursus maritimus (polar bear)
Lineage: Eukaryota; Metazoa; Chordata; Mammalia; Carnivora; Ursidae
Description: ST7 overlapping transcript 4 conserved region 1 (ENSUMAG00000002935.1)
Rfam family: ST7 overlapping transcript 4 conserved region 1
Source: RNAcentral
CCCGCACGUCUCAUGCUCACGGUCGUAAGUGCAGAAGGUAAUUAGCACAGGAUCUUAAUAAACUGGCAGCUAGCCGACCGAAUCAUUAAAAACAGCCACAAAGAAAAUCCACACCAACAGUAACACUCCAGAGACAAUUCAGAAACACAAAAGUAUAUUUUGAAGGAAGGAUUACAGCCCUUCUUUGAAGUCUGGAAGUAGUUGU